Long non-coding RNA from Hemiscyllium ocellatum (epaulette shark), 2083 nucleotides. RefSeq lists it as uncharacterized. The record is from RefSeq and is a predicted model, not a curated record. Lineage: Eukaryota; Metazoa; Chordata; Chondrichthyes; Orectolobiformes; Hemiscylliidae. The transcript has 3 exons.
UUGGUGACUUCUGUGUCGGAUGGCGCUGCAAACCGAUUCGAAAGGUCAAUGAUAUAUUUGUGACAAAUCGAAAAUCUGGUUGAAAACAGUUAGCUGCCUCUGUCUGUACUCAAAUCCUCCUAUCACACUCGGACUUCUGCCUGGAGGGAAUGGUCCAACGAUUCCCCAGUUAUUUUUCCAAUUGUUAACAAUGUCAGAGGCACUGACCAGCCAGCAGCAAUCACUUGGAAUUGUUGACCAAGCAAGCAGUUGGCCGGAGACUGAAACAUUAAAAGAUGACUGCACAUGAAAUAUCGAGAAGAAUCUAAUUUAAUCGGAAAUUGCACGUUUCGUUUUGUUCGUAUACUUUGCGAUGUUCUUGGACAGUAUGGUGUACCUUAAAUGUAAAUGUAAUUCCCUCCCGAAAAAAAGGCGUGGGGAUUGCGAUCAACUUGAACCCGUUCACCGAAAAGCAGUGACCGCAUCAACUUCGUACUGUGUACUACUUUGAAUUAUUUCAGCCAGCGCUAAGCAACCACUAUUGAUUAUCUUUCCCAUACAGGUUCUGGAUUAGAGUGGUGCUGGAAAAGCACAGCAGUUCAGGCAGCAUCCGAGGAGCAGGAAAAUCAACGUUUCGGGCAACAGCUCCUAGCUUUCCCAUACAGAUUCCUUCAAGGAACUCCGACCACAAUGCCGUGUUUCUUCUCCCAGCCUACAGGCAAAAGCUCAAACAGGCGAUCCCCCUCGAGGAUACAGGUCCAGUGCUGGUCGGAGGAGGCAGAGGAUCAACUCCGGUGCUGUCUGGAAUUGGUUGAUUGGGCCACUUUCAAACAGUCCACAGGUACCAUGUAUGGGUACGCCACCACCAUCACAGACUUUAUCAGCAAGUGUGUACAGGACUGCAUACCGAGGAAGUCAAUCCUGGUGUUCCCCAAUAGGGAUGAAUCACAAUAUACAGAACCUGCUAAAAACCAAGUGAGAGGCCUUCAGUUCAGGAGACCCACUCAAAUAUAAGGAAUCCAAGUAUGACCUUCGCAGAGCUAUUAAGACAGCCAAGGACCAAUAUCGAUCCAAAACUAGAGACCCAGACAGACUCCCAGCGCCUAUGGCAAUGACUGAAUGACAUCACAGGUUCUAAAAAGAGACAGUGCAAGAUAGCAGACGAUGACAUUUCUCUCCCAGAUCAUCUCAACGCCUUCUAUGCUUGCUUUGAGCAAAAUUUCAGUGGAGAGGUAACACCUAUUCUGACAAGUCCUGAUGAACUCAUCCCAACAGUCAGUGCAUCAGAUGUCAGAUCAAUUUUCUUUCGUGUGGAUCCAAGGAAAGUGAUGGGACCAGACGGAGUAUGAGACCGUGCACUCAGAGCAUGAGCAGAUCAACUGGCAAAGAUCUUCUUGGACAUAUUCAACCUCUCCCUGCAGCAGGCCACUGUCCCUGCCAAUAUCAUCCCUGUGUCUAAGAUGGCUUAUGUAACAUGUCUCAAUGACUGGCACCUAGUGGCCCUAACCUCUGUGGUCGUGAAGUGCUUUGAAAGGCUGGUCAUUGGCAUUAAUCAACUCUAGCCUCCCCACUACUCUUGACCCACUCCAAUUUGCCUAUCGGACUAACAGAUCCACAUCAGAUGCCAUAUCAUUUGCCUUCACUCGUCCCUCUAACAUCUUGAUGCCAAGAAUAGCUACGUAAGAAUCCUACUCAUUGAGUACAGUUCAGCAUUCAACACUAUUAUCCCCAUGAAACAAUUACUAAACUUGGGAUCGCAGACCAAGCCCCAUUGUCUGCAAUUGGAUCCUCAGUUUUCUGACCCAUAGGUCACAAUCAGUGAAGAUUGGGGAAAAUAUUUCAUCAUCACUAACACUCAACAGUGGAGCCCCCCAGAUCCCUCUACUGUACUCAUUGCAUACCUGUGACUGUGUCGCCAAAUACCAGACAAAUGCCAUUUACAAGUUCGCUGAUGACACUGCCAUAGUUGGUCAAGUCUCAGAUGAUGAUGAAACAGACGACAGAUGGGAAGUGGAAAACCUGGAAAAAUGAUGCACUGAGAACAACCUAGCUCUCAAUGCCAGCAAAACCAAGGAACUCAUUAUUGACUUUCAGCAGAAUGUUA